UGAAGUAUAUCUCAGUGUAGAGAGUUCGCUUUGCCCGUGAAAGGCUCUGGGUUCGAUCCCCAGUUUUUUCAA
Nephila pilipes (giant wood spider) is the source of this 72-nucleotide non-coding RNA. The record is from the annotation of a GenBank genome assembly. NCBI's taxonomy places the organism in Eukaryota, Metazoa, Arthropoda, Arachnida, Araneae, Nephilidae.